RNAcentral lists this ribosomal RNA (396 nucleotides) under uncultured bacterium. Its description in RNAcentral is "bacterial SSU rRNA". It matches the Rfam family "Bacterial small subunit ribosomal RNA", at positions 28 to 418 of the family's 1533-position model. The record is from RNAcentral.
GACGAACGCUGGCGGCGUGCUUAACACAUGCAAGUGGAGCGACGAACCGGGCUUCGGCCCGGGGCAGAGCCGCGAACGGGUGAGUAACACGUGGGUAACCCACCCCGAUGAUUGGGACAACCCGAGGAAACUCGGGCUAAUACCAAAUGUGCCCAUUCUCCGCAAGGAGUCUGUGUAAAGGUAGCUUCGGCUUCCGCAUCGGGACGGGCCCGCGGCCCAUUAGCUUGUUGGUGGGGUAACGGCCUACCAAGGCGACGAUGGGUAGCUGGUCUGAGAGGACGAUCAGCCACACUGGGACUGAGACACGGCCCAGACUCCUACGGGAGGCAGCAGUGGGGAAUCUUGCGCAAUGCGCGAAAGCGUGACGCAGCAACGCCGCGUGGGGAAGAAGGCUUU